This 1934-nucleotide unclassified non-coding RNA is filed under the name uncultured fungus. RNAcentral's name for it is "sequence contains 18S rRNA gene, ITS1, 5.8S rRNA gene, ITS2, 28S rRNA gene". The stretch from base 538 to 1934 matches the Rfam family "Eukaryotic large subunit ribosomal RNA", at positions 1 to 961 of the family's 3401-position model. Lineage: Eukaryota; Fungi. The record is from RNAcentral.
GGUUGGAUCAUUAAAAAAUUAGGGUAGCCCAACCAAAAAUUGGGCUCACUCCAACAUUUUGUGAACUGUUUAUUGUCUCUUGUGGGUUUGCAGCAGCUGGCAACGGUUGCUGCAUCCACAACUUUGAACCUAGUAUUAAUUCUUGCCUUUACUUGUCUUUUAUUAAAUUAAAAACAACUUUUGACAACGGAUCUCUAGGCUCUCGCAACGAUGAAGAACGCAGCGAAUUGCGAUAAGUAAUGUGAAUUGCAGAAUUCCGUGAAUCAUUAAAUCUUUGAACGCACAUUGCGCCAUACGGCAUGUCUGUUUGAGAAUCAGUUUAAUUAUCACUCUAUUAUUAGGCAACUAAUAGUGGAAGUGGAUUUGGGACUCGCCUAGUAAUAGGCAGACCUGGAAAUCAUUUGUUGCUUUGACCUCUAUUUGGAUCAGCUCGAAGGCAUGACCAAGAACGCAAGUUCAUUGAUUGCUGACAAGAGUUGCAAAGAAUAGUGUGAAUAGGCCAAAACUCUUUACGGAUAGGGCAACCUAUUUAAGACUUGAUCUCAAAUCAGACAAGACUACCCGCUGAACUUAAGCAUAUCAAUAAGCGGAGGAAAAGAAACUAACAAGGAUUCCCCUAGUAACGGCGAGUGAAGCGGGAAUAGCUCAAAUUUGAAAUCUUGUCAACUAUGGCACGAAUUGUAGUUUAAAGAAGUGUUUUCGGAGGUGGACCAGGCUCAAGUCCUUUGGGAUAAGGCAUCACAGAGGGUGAGAAUCCCGUACGUGGUUUGGCCCCACUUCCAUGUGAUACACUUUCAAAGAGUCGGGUUGUUUGGGAAUGCAGCCCAAAAUGGGUGGUAAAUACCAUCUAAAGCUAAAUAUUGGCGAGAGACCGAUAGCGAACAAGUACCGUGAGGGAAAGAUGAAAAGAACUUUGAAAAGAGAGUUAAAAGUACGUGAAAUUGUCAAAAGGGAAACACUUGAAACCAGUCUUGCUGGUAGAAUCCCAAAUAGUCUAACGACUAGUAUAUGUUUCUGCUAGCAGGUCAACAUCGGUUUUGAUUGGAGUAUAAAGCCUUGGGAAGGUGGCGACUUGUCGUGUUAUAGCCCAAGGUUCUGCUCUGAUCGAGACCGAGGAAUGCAGUGUAGCCUUGGGGACCCGGCAGCCAAGUGAUGCCUGAUUAUGGACAACUUGUUGAUCAUGAACAGUAUAAGCUUGCUCUGUCGGUUUACCACACCUAUGCUUAGGAUGUUGACAUAAUGGUUUUAAAUGACCCGUCUUGAAACACGGACCAAGGAGUCUAACACAUAUGCGAGUUUUUGGGUGGUAAACCCGGGAAGCGUAAUGAAAGUAUUAAGGUGGGAACCGUAAGGUGCACCAUCGACCGGUCUGGAUAUCUUUUGAUAGAUCUGAGUAAGAGCAUAUUUGUUAGGACCCGAAAGAUGGUGAACUAUGCCUGAAUAGGGUGAAGCCAGAGGAAACUCUGGUGGAGGCUCGUAGCGAUUCUGACGUAACAUCGAUGUGUGCGUUGAAGAGUGACCCGAGAGGGAAGCUAGUGGGGAUGCAAGUCCCUGCGACACUAUCAAAUUGCGGGAAAGUCCUAAAGCUUGUCUAACUAACCAUGCGUGGAAACACAGUGUGGGGCCAGGGUAAUGACCUCGGGUAUAGUAAAAUCAGACAAGAUAUUACAAUGGGCAAUCCGCAGCGAAGUCCUAAACUCGCAAGAGCAUGGAACGCGUUCAGAGACUAGAUGGUAGUGGGCAGUAGUAAUGCUGCUUAAGGUAUAGUCCAACUGCCUUUGAAAGAAGGCCAAGGUUUAGGAAUCGACUGCGAACGCGGUUGAGGAGAGACUCCUUGCGAUCACUUGCAGUGGUUGAGAUUAAUGGCAAAUCGAUCGUCAAAUUUGGGUAUAGGGGCGAAAGACUAAUCGAACCGUCUAAUGGCUGGUUCCCUC